Molecule: long non-coding RNA, 610 nt
Filed under: Penaeus monodon (black tiger shrimp)
Lineage: Eukaryota; Metazoa; Arthropoda; Malacostraca; Decapoda; Penaeidae
Description: uncharacterized LOC119570294, transcript variant X2
Source: RNAcentral
CCAUACAUGCCUAAGCCGAAGAGAACCAUCGGCUCCGUCGCAGCAGGCAAUGAAGCGACCGCACGACCCCGGCUGCGUCCUUCUCCCUCGAGCCUCGCACUGGAGAGGCUUAUUCCUCUGGUGUUCAAAUAAUACUAACUGGAAAAGGCCAGUGUCAAACUGGAACGCACAACCAAGACGAUGGAUUGCCCUAUUGCUUCUAAAGGGACAUGUCCCAUGAAAGGUCAUGGACGGCACUUCGAAUGGAAGAGAAUGUCGUAAGCCUAGUGAAGUCUUGAAUGAAGUUAAUGCCAAGAGGUCCAGAAACUCUACAAGAUGCUUGGAUGACCUGAUGUGAAAGGGUGAAGGUCGGCAAGACCGCCUGAUAACUCCCUCGGCGGCACCAUAGAGGAUUUGAUACAGGGCAGUUGAACACUUUAAGGUUGGUAUCUUGCAGUGUGCUGGUGAUUUUCCUUCAGUUCCAAUUGAAAUGUUCCAGAGCUUGGCACAUGGUGUACAAGGACCAUAGGUAUUGCUGUAAGCCUGCUGCUACUCCCACCUAUACCAUUCAAAGAGGUGGCUAAACUCCUAAAUGCCUUGGCUGAAAUACAUGCAAGACAUCCAAGGCAAG